CAGAUUGAACGCUGGCGGAAUGCUUUACACAUGCAAGUCGAACGGUAGAGGGGGCAACCCUUGAGAGUGGCGAACGGGUGAGUAAUAUAUCGGAACGUGCCCAGUCGUGGGGGAUAACGUAGCGAAAGUUACGCUAAUACCGCAUACGAUCUACGGAUGAAAGCGGGGGAUCGCAAGACCUCGCGCGAUUGGAGCGGCCGAUAUCAGAUUAGGUAGUUGGUGGGGUAAAGGCUCACCAAGCCAACGAUCUGUAGCUGGUCUGAGAGGACGACCAGCCACACUGGUACUGAGACACGGACCAGACUCCUACGGGAGGCAGCAGUGAGGAAUAUUGGACAAUGGGCGCAAGCCUGAUCCAGCCAUGCCGCGUGCAGGAUGACGGUCCUAUGGAUUGUAAACUGCUUUUAUCUGGGAAGAAAAAGUCCAUGCGUGGAAAAUUGCCGGUACCAGAUGAAUAAGCACCGGCUAACUCCGUG
This 476-nucleotide ribosomal RNA is filed under the name uncultured bacterium. RNAcentral describes it as "bacterial SSU rRNA". It matches the Rfam family "Bacterial small subunit ribosomal RNA", at positions 25 to 507 of the family's 1533-position model. The record is from RNAcentral.